Molecule: non-coding RNA, 1052 nt
Organism: Bemisia tabaci
Lineage: Eukaryota; Metazoa; Arthropoda; Insecta; Hemiptera; Aleyrodidae
Source: RefSeq, a predicted model, not a curated record
GUUGUCGACUCCUUGCGCGGGCCAAUCAAAAUCGGUGUUGAUCGAGAGCCCACCCGCCACCCCUUGCAGAUCACGCGUCGCGGGUCCUCAAAUUUCCGUCAGCGGUCGCCCAGUUCGGUCGUCAAUCUCGUGUCCGGUCCGGUCGGUCGGGGCAAAGCGCACUCAUCAUGGCCUCAAGUAUUUUCCUCUCUUGUAACGUUUUGAGGCUCAUUCAACGUCUCUUACCGAGUUUUCUGCCCGUAUUAUCGCUGUGUGUGUCUCGCGAAAACUCUUCGGUGGUGUAUGUGAAAUUGAUCGUGAGCGUUUUCGUCACGUGAACUGAGUCCUUCGUUUUCUUGAAAAUCACCAACUCGUGCUCGGCCGGCGUCUGUGUGAAUUGAAUGUUGGGAGUUGAUGCCCAAAACCCUCGUCUACGUACUUUUGUCGUUUAUUAUCGGUGUGCGUGUUUCGUGAAAACUAUUCGGCGAUGUGUAUGAAAACAAUCGUGAUUCGUGUGUAUUAAUUUGUCACUUAAAUCGGCUGGCCGCCCUUUGUGGCCUAUUCUUCUCGAAAUGUCGCAUCGUUCUCGGCGCUCGUGCGAUGAAUUGAAUCGAGGCGAUUGAUCCCCCCCAACUUUGAUUGAUGUUCGUAGUUUUCAGUGUUUCGGGUAUACCUUUGUGAACUUCUCCAUUCUGCAAUGCGUGCGGGAUUUUCUCCAUUGCUCACUCACUGAUCGGUCGCCCGGGUUUUCGGGAGUGAUCUCGUUCCUCGUGAGUGGUGCGUAUUGCCAUGUGCUAUGUGUGCGUUGUGGUACUUAUCCCAUUAUAUCGGCUUCGCGUUUUAAUUGUGUUUGUGUUUCCUUCUCGAUGAUUAUCGCGAAUAAUUGGAUUAACUCGUGCCGACCAUUUGAUGGCGUUGGAUAUCUGGUCACAGUCUAUUCCUUUGAUGCUUGCACGUUUGGCGUUGGUCUGGAUUCAGCUAAUGUUUCUUAGUGCGCAGUGCGGUUUCAGUGAAAAUGUCGUGUCGUGAGUGCUUUCAGCUUGGCGUCGGGCAAUUGGAUAACUCUCCCCUGG